This 301-nucleotide ribosomal RNA is filed under the name uncultured bacterium. Its description in RNAcentral is "partial 16S ribosomal RNA". It matches the Rfam family "Bacterial small subunit ribosomal RNA", at positions 509 to 807 of the family's 1533-position model. The record is from RNAcentral.
CAGUCGCCGCGGUAAAACGGAGGGUGCAAGCGUUAUCCGGAUUUAUUGGGUUUAAAGGGUCCGUAGGCGGAUCUGUAAGUCAGUGGUGAAAUCUCACAGCUUAACUGUGAAACUGCCAUUGAUACUGCAGGUCUUGAGUAAAUUUGAAGUGGCUGGAAUAAGUAGUGUAGCGGUGAAAUGCAUAGAUAUUACUUAGAACACCAAUUGCGAAGGCAGGUUACCAAGAUAUAACUGACGCUGAGGGACGAAAGCGUGGGUAGCGAACAGGAUUAGAUACCCGCGUAGUCCCUGUCUCUUAUAC